Molecule: ribosomal RNA, 486 nt
Filed under: uncultured bacterium
Lineage: Bacteria
Description: partial 16S ribosomal RNA
Rfam family: Bacterial small subunit ribosomal RNA
Source: RNAcentral
GAUGAACGCUGGCGGCGUGCUUAACACAUGCAAGUCGAACGGAAAGGCCUCAGCUUGCUGGGGUACUCGAGUGGCGAACGGGUGAGUAACACGUGGGUGAUCUGCCCUGCACUUUGGGGUAAGCUUGGGAAACUGGGUCUAAUACCGAAUAUGACCACUUCUUGGAUGUUGUGGUGGAAAGCUUUGGCGGUGUGGGAUGAGCCUGCGGCCUAUCAGCUUGUUGGUGGGGUAAUGGCCUACCAAGGCGGCGACGGGUAUCCGGCCUGAGAGGGUGUACGGACACAUUGGGACUGAGAUACGGCCCAGACUCCUACGGGAGGCAGCAGUGGGGAAUAUUGCACAAUGGGCGCAAGCCUGGUGCAGCGACGCCGCGUGGGGGAUGAAGGCCUUCGGGUUGUAAACUCCUUUCGCUAUCGACGAAGCCACUUGUGGUGACGGUAGGUAGUUAAGAAGCACCGGCUAACUACGUGCCAGCCGCCGCCGUAA